Molecule: unclassified non-coding RNA, 339 nt
Filed under: soil metagenome
Description: partial contains 5.8S ribosomal RNA, internal transcribed spacer 2, and large subunit ribosomal RNA
Rfam family: 5.8S ribosomal RNA (bases 1-120)
Source: RNAcentral
GAUGAGGAACGUAGCGAAAUGCGAUAAGUAAUGUGAAUUGCAGAAUUCAGUGAAUCAUCGAAUCUUUGAACGCACAUUGCACCUCUCGGUAUUCCGGGAGGUAUGCCUGUUCGAGCGUCAUUUGUACCCUCAAGCUCUGCUUGGUGUUGGGUGUUUGUUCCGCCUCUGUGUGUGAACUCGCCUCAAAACAAUUGGCAGCCGGCGUACUUGUUUCGGAGCGCAGCACAUUUUGCGAUCCAGAUCAACGUACAGCGGCAUCCAAGAAGCCUUAUUUAACGCUCUUGACCUCGGAUCAGGUAGGGAUACCCGCUGAACUUAAGCAUAUCAAUAAGCGGAGGA